RNAcentral lists this long non-coding RNA (946 nucleotides) under Marmota monax (woodchuck). Lineage: Eukaryota; Metazoa; Chordata; Mammalia; Rodentia; Sciuridae. The record is from RNAcentral.
CUUUUAAACCAUUUUUUAUUGCCAAUUUUGAAUUAUUUCCUUAAGAUAGUCUGUGAAGUAGGAUGGCCAUCAAAAAACAUUAAUACUUCUAUGGCUCUUUAUGCUUUCUAGCCAUCAAUAGUGUAUACCAGUUUUACCAUGGUCUUGGCUGGCUUUGAGUAUUAUUUUCCAAAAUAAAUAGCAGUUUUCUUUCUUUCUCUUUUCAUCUAGUGUGUCUAAAAUGGCACCCCAUUGUUUCCUUUCUCUCAUUUUUGGAGCCAAGGGAAGUGAUGUGCACUGUGGCUUCUCUAUCCAAUUUUCAUUUGAUAACACACUUACAGAUGUAUAAUGCCAAGUCAAAAUAGGACUCAGGUGACAGGGAGAGGAAGCAGAAACCACAACCCCUACCAAGAAAGGGUACUAGAAGAGAAACCUUGUACUUCUAGAGGUAAAUUAAGUUCAGUUAAGGUUGGAGGACUUACCCAAAUUCCAACUGGUUUUCAUUGAACUAGUUUGAUAGUUGCUCUUUUAUUUGUAUCAUGUUUUAUUUUAGAUAUUAACAAAUAAAUUAAGGUCUUGAGAAAACUAAUUGAAAUAAUAUUUCUAUUUUGAUGUAAGAGAUGUAAAAUCACAAUAAGCAGUUGAGUUUCCUUUGUCUUAAAGCCCAAUGCUGUCUUGUGUUAUAAUGAUGAAGUUUAUAGCAGUAUAAACUUUUGUUGACAUUGCUAUUGUGUGGUAAAUUAAAUAUCUUAUGAUGAUGAUAUAUAUUUUAGGCAAGUAAUUUGCAUUUAGCGGUAUUCUAUUAUUCUAGAGCAGUGGUUCUUGACCAGGGAUGAUUUGCUCUCCAGGGAACAUUUAGAAAUGUCUGGAGAUAUUUUUGAAUGUUGUGGUGGCAGAUGCGAUGACAUCUAGUGAGUAGAGGUCAGGGACAGUGUUAAACAAUUCUACAGUGUACUAAACAGCUUCC